Molecule: microRNA precursor, 94 nt
Organism: Bos taurus (domestic cattle)
Lineage: Eukaryota; Metazoa; Chordata; Mammalia; Artiodactyla; Bovidae
Gene: bta-mir-31
Product: bta-mir-31
Source: Ensembl
UCCUGUAACUUGGAACUGGAGAGGAGGCAAGAUGCUGGCAUAGCUGUUGAACUGCGAACCUGCUAUGCCAACAUAUUGCCAUCUCUCUUGUCCG